Molecule: small RNA, 110 nt
Filed under: Maribacter algarum (ex Zhang et al. 2020)
Lineage: Bacteria; Pseudomonadati; Bacteroidota; Flavobacteriia; Flavobacteriales; Flavobacteriaceae
Description: Maribacter algarum 6S-Flavo RNA
Rfam family: 6S-Flavo RNA
Source: Rfam by way of RNAcentral
ACUCAACAUUAAUUUGAUUAAAAAGGGUGAGUUUAGAUUAUAAAAGAAUGCCUUGCUUGUACAAGGAACCUUGAGUAGUCUGUUAGCCCUAAACCUGUUUAUUGGAGUUU